ACGAACGCUGGCGGCGUGCUUAACACAUGCAAGUCGAACGGAAAGGCCCUGCUUUUGUGGGGUGCUCGAGUGGCGAACGGGUGAGUAACACGUGAGUAACCUGCCCUUGACUUUGGGAUAACUUCAGGAAACUGGGGCUAAUACCGGAUAGGAGCUCCUGCUGCAUGGUGGGGGUUGGAAAGUUUCGGCGGUUGGGGAUGGACUCGCGGCUUAUCAGCUUGUUGGUGGGGUAGUGGCUUACCAAGGCUUUGACGGGUAGCCGGCCUGAGAGGGUGACCGGCCACAUGGGGACUGAGAUACGGCCCAGACGCCUACGGGAGGCAGCAGUGGGGAAUAUUGCACAAUGGGCGGAAGCCUGAUGCAGCAACGCCGCGUGCGGGAUGACGGCCUUCGGGUUGUAAACCGCUUUCGCCUGUGACGAAGCGUGAGUGACGGUAAUGGGUAAAGAAGCACCGGCUAACUACGUG
This 467-nucleotide ribosomal RNA is filed under the name uncultured bacterium. Its description in RNAcentral is "partial 16S ribosomal RNA". It matches the Rfam family "Bacterial small subunit ribosomal RNA", at positions 29 to 507 of the family's 1533-position model. The record is from RNAcentral.